AGAACAUCACCCAGACCAGAGAGACACACUUCUAUGUUCCAGGUGAUUUCUUCACAGUUCAGUCUUUGAAUCAGACUGAGAUCAUCUUCAUCAUCAUCAUCAUCAUCACUCUUGUUUUGCUGCUGCUGGUCAUUGUUCCCACAGUGAGAUGUUUCUGGAUCAAGAGGAAACUGAGAACUUUAAGAAUGUUAACAGUGCCCGAACAAGAUGAGCAACUGGACAUGAAGUAUGAAGUUCAACAUACUGAUCAUCAAUCAUCGGAAUCAGAGAAAAUGCAUGUAGAGGUUACAGUUGAUCCACCAUGACGGUGUCAAAGUAUUCUGUGGUUCUCUGUUUGCUUGUUAUUAUUCUUGUUUGCACUCAGGUGUUAGCUCUGCCAUCAAAGUACCGCAGAUGCAUUUUUCCUGGAUGAAUAACGUUACUUUAAUAGUGCCUCCAGAGGACACGCCCCACAGUCCUGGAGCUGAGAAUUCAUUUUUACUGAUUUCAUAAACUUCAUGUAGAUAUUUUUAGAUAUUUUCCUCUCUGGUUAGCACACCGCUAACUGAGAGUGUAAAUAAGACGUAUUUAUGUUUACAUGUACAGUGUAUGUUUGAUAAUGUGUAUACAUGCUUUUAUUGUCUUAAUAAAUUCUUGUGUUUAUA
Long non-coding RNA from Larimichthys crocea (large yellow croaker), 644 nucleotides. RefSeq lists it as uncharacterized. The record is from RefSeq and is a predicted model, not a curated record. Lineage: Eukaryota; Metazoa; Chordata; Actinopteri; Sciaenidae. The transcript is spliced from 3 exons.